UGGGGAAUAUUGGACAAUGGGCGCAAGCCUGAUCCAGCCAUGCCGCGUGUGUGAAGAAGGCCUUAUGGUUGUAAAGCACUUUAAGCGAGGAGGAGGCUACUUUAGUUAAUACCUAGAGAUAGUGGACGUUACUCGCAGAAUAAGCACCGGCUAACUCUGUGCCAGCAGCCGCGGUAAUACAGAGGGUGCAAGCGUUAAUCGGAUUUACUGGGCGUAAAGCGCGCGUAGGCGGCUAAUUAAGUCAAAUGUGAAAUCCCCGGGCUUAACUUGGGAAUAGCAUUCGAUACUGGUUAGCUAGAGUGUGGGAGAUGAUGGUAGAAUUCCAGGUGUAGCGGUGAAAUGCGUAGAGAUCUGGAGGAAUACCGAUGGCGAAGGCAGCCAUCUGGCCUAACACUGACGCUGAGGUGCGAAAGCAUGGGGAGCAAACAGG
This 430-nucleotide ribosomal RNA is filed under the name Pseudomonadota bacterium. Its description in RNAcentral is "Proteobacteria bacterium partial 16S ribosomal RNA". It matches the Rfam family "Bacterial small subunit ribosomal RNA", at positions 355 to 776 of the family's 1533-position model. Lineage: Bacteria; Pseudomonadati; Pseudomonadota. The record is from RNAcentral.